This 445-nucleotide ribosomal RNA is filed under the name uncultured bacterium. Its description in RNAcentral is "bacterial SSU rRNA". It matches the Rfam family "Bacterial small subunit ribosomal RNA", at positions 354 to 796 of the family's 1533-position model. The record is from RNAcentral.
GUGGGGAAUAUUGCGCAAUGGAGGCAACUCUGACGCAGCCAUGCCGCGUGCAGGAAGAAGGCGCUACGCGUUGUAAACUGCUUUUAACCGGGAAGAAACCCCAGGACGUGUCCUGGGUUGACGGUACCGGAGGAAUAAGCACCGGCUAACUUCGUGCCAGCAGCCGCGGUAAUACGAAGGGUGCAAGCGUUAUCCGGAUUCAUUGGGUUUAAAGGGUGCGUAGGCGGAGCGUUAAGUCAGUGGUGAAAUCCUGCAGCUUAACUGUAGACUUGCCAUUGAUACUGGCGCUCUUGAGUGCGCUUGAAGUGGGCGGAAUGUGCCGUGUAGCGGUGAAAUGCUUAGAUAUGGCACAGAACACCAAUUGCGAAGGCAGCUCACUAAGGCGAUACUGACGCUGAGGCACGAAAGCGUGGGGAUCGAACAGGAUUAGAAACCCGUGUAGUCC